AUGGCAGGUCAGCAUACUGCCGUGAAUACGUUCCCGGGCCUUGUACACACCGCCCGUCACACCAUGAGAGUUGGGAAUACCCGAAGCCUGUGAGCUAACGUUAAGAGGCAGCAGUCGAAGGUAGAAUCAAUGAUUGGGGUGAAGUCGUAACAAGGUAGC
This 159-nucleotide ribosomal RNA is filed under the name uncultured bacterium. RNAcentral's name for it is "partial 16S ribosomal RNA". It matches the Rfam family "Bacterial small subunit ribosomal RNA", at positions 1341 to 1500 of the family's 1533-position model. The record is from RNAcentral.